UGAACCAACGUAGUUUCAGUUUGGUGAAAAAGAGAAGGAUUUUAUCGAAUAUUUGUAGUUUGACUCAAUUUCAAAGAAGUUUCGAUUAUGUGAUUUCCAAAGAAGGUGAAUGGAAUAGGGACACAACCGAUCCAAUCAAUUUUCCCCGAAUUCUGUAAAAACAGCAGUAUUCAUGGCAUUCGAUAUUUUACCGAACGAAAACGCGAUUGG
This is a long non-coding RNA of Contarinia nasturtii (swede midge), 210 nucleotides long. RefSeq lists it as uncharacterized. The record is from RefSeq and is a predicted model, not a curated record. The transcript is spliced from 3 exons. NCBI's taxonomy places the organism in Eukaryota, Metazoa, Arthropoda, Insecta, Diptera, Cecidomyiidae.